GGGUUUUUAAUUCAUAUAAAUUCAAAUAAAAUCUGCCUUACAAGCAGGGGGUCACUGGUUCGAAUCCAGUAGGGCCCACCC
This 81-nucleotide transfer RNA is filed under the name Ulvibacterium marinum. RNAcentral describes it as "Pseudozobellia sp. CCMM003 tRNA-Val". It matches the Rfam family "tRNA". From Rfam's summary of the family: Transfer RNA (tRNA) molecules are approximately 80 nucleotides in length. Lineage: Bacteria; Pseudomonadati; Bacteroidota; Flavobacteriia; Flavobacteriales; Flavobacteriaceae. The record is from RNAcentral.